GAAAAACAUACACAGACAAACAACGAAGGGACAGAAAAAAAUAUAUAGAGAGAGAGAAAGGAAAGAGAAAAUAAUACUCGUGACUGAAUGGCACUAAGAACAGAAGAGCCAAGUCGAGACGGGAAAAAUAGAGACGAUGAAAGACAGACAGACGGGAUAUGUUAAAAGGCUAAAUUAGGUUACGGCACGAAGGGAGACAAAGAGAGAGAGAGAAAUUGCGGGGAUUGACAGGACUCGAAAAACAAGAUUGAGAGAGGAGGAAAAUCGGAGUCAAAACGAAAUGGGGUAAAAACAAGGUGGAAAUAGAGUGAAAUUAUUGAGAGGAUGAAAAAGAACAGGUUACAGUAAGACUUCAUGAAAAAGGAGAGAAGGAAGAGGGCAGAAAAAGAAAAGGAAAUUAUUGAAAGGAUGAAAAAGAACACGUUACAAUAAGACUUCAUGAAAAAGGAGAGAAGGAAGAGGGCAGAAAAAGAAAAGGAAAUUAUUGAAAGGAUGAAAAAGAACACGUUACAAUAAGACUUCAUGAAAAAGGAGAGAAGUAAGAGAGCAGAAAAAAAGAGGAGGCGAGUUAAGUUUUGGAAAUAAAAAAAAGAGCAGAUUACAAAAGUCCUCGUAAAAAUGAGAGAAGAAGAAGGAGAGAGAAGGAGUCAGAAUAAAUUGGAUAUGAAGUGAACUGUAGAUGAAAAAAUAGGAACAGGGUACAAUGAGUCUUCAAAAAAAAAAAAUGGUCGGGUAUUGGAAGAAGACGAAAACAAACCAGAAACUGAUGAAAAAGAGAAAGGCGGGCAAAAGGAGGCCAAAAUAAGGUACGACUGAAACGACAUAAUCUGGCACUGAAGGGAAUUGGAUAACACAUUGGAACGGAGCGGGGACAAGGAGACGAAAAAAUAACAGGAAAAAGAAAAUAUUACGUGAAGAUGACAGAAAAGUAGAAAAAGAAAAAUACUACGAGGAAAGAAAAGGAAGGGCUGGAUAUAAGGAGAGGAGGCGGAGGCAGCGUGGAGGCCUGACUAUUAGAGCAGCGGCCGGCCAGGAAUGGAAUAUAAGGCGGAAGGGACGAGACGGGGAGGCGGAGGAUCAAGGAAGACGAGACGGGGAGGCGGAGGAUCAAGGAAGACGAGACGGGGAGGCGGAGGAUCAAGGAAGACGAGACGGGGAGGCGGAGGAUCAAGGAAGACGAGACGGGGAGGCGGAGGAUCAAGGAAGACGAGACGGGGAGGCGGAGGAUCAAGGAAGACGAGACGUGGCGAUAAGAAGACGAGGCGAUGGCAAGCUAUAAGGGAUAAAAACUAAAAGCGAUAAAACAAGGACAAGUAGAGAUAAAUACUAAACAGGGUAAAACAAUGGCAAUGCGAUGCUGUAUAUUUACAUUGAAAUAAAAUCGAGGACAAUACAAAGACGACUAGAAUAGACAAAAAAAAGCUAAUCAGAUGCUAUAUUAAGUAAAAAGUGAAGGUUGGAGCAUAUGCUAUUGCUGCGCGUGGCGGCUGUGCUCAUCUCCGUCCCGUUGGCCUUUUGAACCUGUGGCAGAAAACCCAUUAACCCGACACAGGGGCAGUGUUACAUCCGGGUUACCUCAGUUUACGUUCUCCAGGUUUCCCCAGGUACCCAUUUACUGAUCAACCCGAAAGGGAGGAUGAACAGCUGGGUGAGAUGCACGGGUUCGUUGCAAUUAUACGUAUAGUCACACUAAUCACUGCAACAAGGGGGGAGGGUGAAAGGACAAUACGGUGUUAGUUAAGGCUAAGCCAGGCAUUAUUCUGCACUAAAACAGAAAACGAAAGGCAGUAUGAUGAGCAAUAAGGCCAGA
Molecule: long non-coding RNA, 1810 nt
Organism: Eriocheir sinensis (Chinese mitten crab)
Lineage: Eukaryota; Metazoa; Arthropoda; Malacostraca; Decapoda; Varunidae
Exons: 3
Source: RefSeq, a predicted model, not a curated record